CCCUUAGAUGUUCUGGGCCGCACGCGUGCUACACUGAGUGGAUCAGCGGGUCAGGUUGCGCGAAAGUGUUUCCUAAUCUUGAAAUCCGCUCGUGAUGGGGAUUGACGGUUGCAAUUUUCCGUCAUGAACGAGGAAUACCAUGUAAGCGCGGGUCAUCAUCCCGCGCUGAAUACGUCCCUGCCCUUUGUACACACCGCCCGUCGCUCCUACCGAUUGAGUGGUCCGGUGAGGCUUUGGGAUCUGAGCGGAAAGAGCGUUUCGCUGUUUCUGCUCGGAAAACUCAGUCGAACCUUAUCAUUUAGAGGAAGGAGAAGUCGUAACA
This 322-nucleotide ribosomal RNA is filed under the name uncultured eukaryote. Its description in RNAcentral is "partial 18S ribosomal RNA". It matches the Rfam family "Eukaryotic small subunit ribosomal RNA", at positions 1470 to 1796 of the family's 1831-position model. The record is from RNAcentral.